GUACACGCUGUGACUAGCAUAUCAAUAAGCGGAGGAAAAGAAACUAACAAGGAUUCCCCUAGUAACGGCGAGUGAAGCGGGAAGAGCUCAAAUUUGAAAUCUUAAAGGGUUUCCCUUUACGAAUUGUAGUUUAAAGAAGUGUUUUCUGUUGAGGUUUUGGUAAAAGUUCUUAGGAAUAGGACAUCAUAGAGGGUGAGAAUCCCGUAUUUGACCUUUACUUUCAACUUUGUGAUACACUUUCAAAGAGUCGGAUUGUUUGGGAAUGCAGUCCAAAAUGGGUGGUAAAUUUCAUCUAAAGCUAAAUAUUGGCGAGAGACCGAUAGCGAACAAGUACCGUGAGGGAAAGAUGAAAAGAACUUUGAAAAGAGAGUUAAACAGUACGUGAAAUUGUCAAAAGGGAAGCGUUUGACACCAGUGUUGUUUUUCUGAAAAUCAAUUAAAGAACUGUUUAUGCUAAGUUGUUUAGACUUUAUCAGCUAACUGUUUAGUUUUGAGCUUUUCUUUAAUGCACUUUUCAGUUAACAAGUCAACAUCAAUUUCUUUUGCUGUAAAAAAGCUUGAGGAAGGUGGCUUGAGAUUCGUCUUAAGUGUUUAUAGCCUCUUGCCUAUGCAGUCGGAGAGAUUGAGGUCUGCAGCGUAGAUCCUUCGGGGCUAAAUGCAUUUGUGCUAAGUUAUAGCAUUUUAUAGACAACUUGUUGACUAUGAUUUGUCUUGUAGCUUACUCGCUUAUGUUAUUUUACCUACGCUUAGGAUGUUGAGUCGUAGAGCACGCAG
This 774-nucleotide ribosomal RNA is filed under the name uncultured Neocallimastigales. RNAcentral describes it as "partial large subunit ribosomal RNA". It matches the Rfam family "Eukaryotic large subunit ribosomal RNA", at positions 22 to 628 of the family's 3401-position model. Lineage: Eukaryota; Fungi; Neocallimastigomycota; Neocallimastigomycetes; Neocallimastigales. The record is from RNAcentral.